Molecule: long non-coding RNA, 218 nt
Filed under: Elaeis guineensis (African oil palm)
Lineage: Eukaryota; Viridiplantae; Streptophyta; Magnoliopsida; Arecales; Arecaceae
Description: long non-coding RNA (EGUI_LNC068433)
Source: RNAcentral
GGAAAAGAAAAAAGAAAUCGAUCUUCAUAUUGGCAUGCUAGAUGAAGCUAAAGAAAGAAGGGGCCUAUCUACUGAAGAACGGCAAGAAAGAAUUAGCCUGAAGGAGUGACUUGACACGAUAUUGACAAAGAGGAAGUAAUGUGGAAGCAACGCUCAAGAAGCCAAUGGAUUCACGAAGGCGAUCGUAACACAAAAUUUUUUUCACAUUUUGACGAGCA